UAAAAUUUGAAAAGAAACACAAUGUUAACAUUCUCUUAUACUGGUGUAAUUAUGUCAGGCUGUUUAUGGGUCCCGUUCCAUUGAAGGAUUGGAGUGUGUUUAGCAAAACAUGCUUAUUAGUGAUACUACUUCAUUGACAGCAUAACAUUUGGAAGGGAUAUUGAUAGACUAAGUGAAUAGGCAAAAUUGGCAAAUGGUUUCCAAAUAUAAGCAAGUGUGAGGUUAUCCAUUUUAAACCAAAGAAAGGAUAGAUCAGGAUGCUUUCUAGAUGGUAUAAAGUACUGUGGCUUUAUUUUAGGGGUUUAAAAUAUCAUGGACAAGUGCAGAAAAUAAUCAAGAAAGCUAAUGGAAUCCUGGUCUUCAUAUCUAGAGUACUCUGCUGACAGGACGGAGAAUCAAUGCUGCAGUUACACAAUAUCCUGGUUAGACUCCACGGAAUACUGUGAGCAGAUCUGGGCAUCACACCUUAUGAAGGGUAUAUUGAUUGUGGAGGGAGUACAAUGUAGAUUUACAAGAUACCUGGACUUCAGGGGUUAAGAGAUGAAUAACCAUUAUGACAGCGUCAUGCCACAGUUUAAAUAAAGGCAAAUGCAGUUUUGGAGUGUAUAACAACGACCUUGACAUCAAGUCAACAGAGACCUUCCAAGAUAAAAGAGAAAUGGGGAGCAUUGUCACCAUACCUGGACAAAAGUGAAUUAAACUGUGCCUUAGCUGAGCCUUCAGUGGUCCAGUAUGAGUUCAAGAGUAGAAUUACUGCCAGUGGAGUUGUUGAACCACACAUCUCCUUCAAGAUGGACAACAUGUCACCUGACCUUCUGACUAAGCAACUGGAAAACUGGAAAUUAUCUGCAUCACACAAAAUGGGAAAAUUCCAUUCUGAUAGGCGAGUCAACAUUCCAUCUGGAGCUAAACGAACAGAGCAAAGGUAACAGAUAAAUCAUCUAUUCACAACUUGAAAUCACCUCAAAGCUGAAACCAGAAGGAAAGCCAAGCUCAAUCUGGAUCCACCUAACUUCAAUCCGCAAGAACUAUAUAAACUUACUGAGCUUUAAAAUAUCACUUUAGCUGUCCUCCCAUUCUGUAACUUAUUGGUGUUGUGUGUUUGCAUUUGGAAAUUAGUUUACUUAGAUAGGGUUACUUGGACAACUUUUGAAACAACUCAUGGAAUCCUGUGUGUCUUUUGCAGUCACAGCAUGUGAACAGUCAAAGACUUAGUGAAUUUACAGGCAUAACCUUUAACUUGUUGUAGUCAAAUGAAUGGAAGACGAGAGGAGUUAACUACACCUCCUCCCCAUUUAAAAUAGUAGGCAUGGAAAUCCAAACCAUGUGUGGAGUCAUUCUUUGUCAAUUUUUAGAUUCUUAAAAUGUCAAAUUUUAAAGCAACUGUUCUCCUUUGACUUUUCUUUCCAAAUCCCAACUUUCCUCACUGCUUUAUGUAUUUGAUUUGACAGUUAAUUUAUCCAGACUUGUUUCUUAGUCCUUAAUCCCUCUGGUUAAGGAGAUAUCCGGAUGAAUUUUCUCAAAAAGUUGAAGUAUCCAUUUCAAGGAGGUUUAUGGACGGUUUUUCUCUAUGAGCUGUAGUGAGUUAUCUU
This is a non-coding RNA of Chiloscyllium plagiosum (whitespotted bambooshark), 1592 nucleotides long. Lineage: Eukaryota; Metazoa; Chordata; Chondrichthyes; Orectolobiformes; Hemiscylliidae. The record is from RefSeq and is a predicted model, not a curated record.